Molecule: ribosomal RNA, 493 nt
Filed under: Microbacterium oryzae
Lineage: Bacteria; Bacillati; Actinomycetota; Actinomycetes; Micrococcales; Microbacteriaceae
Description: bacterial SSU rRNA
Rfam family: Bacterial small subunit ribosomal RNA
Source: RNAcentral
GGGCGGAAGCCUGAUGCAGCAACGCCGCGUGAGGGUCGACGGCCUUCGGGUUGUAAACCUCUUUUAGCAGGGAAGAAGCGAAAGUGACGGUACCUGCAGAAAAAGCGCCGGCUAACUACGUGCCAGCAGCCGCGGUAAUACGUAGGGCGCAAGCGUUAUCCGGAAUUAUUGGGCGUAAAGAGCUCGUAGGCGGUCUGUCGCGUCUGCUGUGAAAACCCGAGGCUCAACCUCGGGCCUGCAGUGGGUACGGGCAGACUAGAGUGCGGUAGGGGAGAUUGGAAUUCCUGGUGUAGCGGUGGAAUGCGCAGAUAUCAGGAGGAACACCGAUGGCGAAGGCAGAUCUCUGGGCCGUAACUGACGCUGAGGAGCGAAAGGGUGGGGAGCAAACAGGCUUAGAUACCCUGGUAGUCCACCCCGUAAACGUUGGGAACUAGUUGUGGGGGCCUUUCCACGGUCUCCGUGACGCAGCUAACGCAUUAAGUUCCCCGCCUGG